ACGAGACCUUCGGGUCUAGUGGCGCACGGGUGCGUAACGCGUGGGAAUCUGCCCUUGGGUUCGGAACAACAGUUGGAAACGACUGCUAAUACCGGACGAUGACUUCGGUCCAAAGAUUUAUCGCCCAGGGAUGAGCCCGCGUAGGAUUAGCUUGUUGGUGAGGUAAAAGCUCACCAAGGCGACGAUCCUUAGCUGGUCUGAGAGGAUGAUCAGCCACACUGGGACUGAGACACGGCCCACACUCCUACGGGAGGCAGCAGUGGGGAAUAUUGGACAAUGGGCGAAAGCCUGAUCCACCAAUGCCGCGUGAGUGAUGAAGGCCUUAGGGUUGUAAAGCUCUUUUACCCGGGAUGAUAAUGACAGUUCCGGGAGAAUAAGCCCCGGCUAUCUCCGUGACAGCACCCGCGGUAAUACAGAGGGGGCUAGCGUUGUUCGGAAUUACUGGGCGUAAAGCGCAUGUACGCGGCUUUGUAAGUUAGAGGUGAAAGCCCGGAGCUCAACUCCAGAAUUGCCUUUAAGACUGCAUCGCUUGAAUCAUGGAGAGGUGAGUGGAAUUCCGAGUGUAUAGGUGAAAUUCGUAGAUAUUCGGAAGAACACCAGUGGCGAAAGCUACUCACUGGACAUGUAUUGACACUGAGGAGCGAAAGCGUGGGGAGCAGACAGGAUUACAUACCCUGGUAGUCCACGCCGUAAACAAUGAUGACUAGCUGUCCGGGCGCUUGGCGUUU
RNAcentral lists this ribosomal RNA (728 nucleotides) under uncultured bacterium. RNAcentral's name for it is "bacterial SSU rRNA". It matches the Rfam family "Bacterial small subunit ribosomal RNA", at positions 66 to 840 of the family's 1533-position model. The record is from RNAcentral.